Molecule: long non-coding RNA, 491 nt
Organism: Armigeres subalbatus
Lineage: Eukaryota; Metazoa; Arthropoda; Insecta; Diptera; Culicidae
Exons: 3
Source: RefSeq, a predicted model, not a curated record
GUUUGUGAAGCGAAGAUUGUGAAGUGUGAAAUAAAAACAUGGAAACAAAAAGUUGUUUGGUAGCUAAAUUGGGUGAUAAUUACAAAGUGUCGGCCAAUCGACCAGUAGUGCUCUUGCAUCGAACCUUUUCAUGUUUUCUGGCGUACACCUAUAAAUAGUCAUUAGUGAAAAAUGACAAGGAUUUUCAUGAAUUUUUGAUAAAUUCCAGCAUUCAGCAAUUUAAGGUACUACGACCUUUUAUCCACAGCGUCUCCAUUCAGCUUUGAUGUCACCUGAUAAAAUGAUUUUUAAUAUCGAGUGAGCUGCCGUAAUGGGAUCUGUGAUGCAUUUUCUGACUUACCCCUCACAAUGGGACGAAGUGAGCAGAUCGAUUGUUUGGGCCCAUUCAACACAAAUUAAAACUUCCUAGGAUAAUCUCUACAAACGCUGCCCCCGCAGCAUGGAUACUAAGCAUUAGGAAUACUGGCUGUUUUAUAAACAUUCCUUCCCGC